AUUGAACGCUGGCGGCAGGCCUAACACAUGCAAGUCGAACGGUAACAGGAAACAGCUUGCUGUUUCGCUGACGAGUGGCGGACGGGUGAGUAAUGUCUGGGAAACUGCCUGAUGGAGGGGGAUAACUACUGGAAACGGUAGCUAAUACCGCAUAACGUCGCAAGACCAAAGAGGGGGACCCUCGGGCCUCUUGCCAUCGGAUGUGCCCAGAUGGGAUUAGCUUGUUGGUGGGGUAACGGCUCACCAAGGCGACGAUCCCUAGCUGGUCUGAGAGGAUGACCAGCCACACUGGAACUGAGACACGGUCCAGACUCCUACGGGAGGCAGCAGUGGGGAAUAUUGCACAAUGGGCGUAAGCCUGAUGCAGCCAUGCCGCGUGUAUGAAGAAGGCCUUCGGGUUGUAAAGUACUUUCAGCGGGGAGGAAGGGAGUAAAGUUAAUACCUUUGCUCAUUGACGUUACCCGCAGAAGAAGCACCGGCUAACUCCGUG
Molecule: ribosomal RNA, 490 nt
Filed under: uncultured bacterium
Lineage: Bacteria
Description: partial 16S ribosomal RNA
Rfam family: Bacterial small subunit ribosomal RNA
Source: RNAcentral